GACGAACGCUGGCGGCGUGCUUAACACAUGCAAGUCGAACGGAAAGGCCUCUUUCGGGGGGUACUCGAGUGGCGAACGGGUGAGUAACACGUGAGUAACCUGCCCUUGACUUUGGGAUAACUUGAGGAAACUGGGGCUAAUACCGGAUAGGAGCUCCUGCUGCAUGGUGGGGGUUGGAAAGUUUCGGCGGUUGGGGAUGGACUCGCGGCUUAUCAGCUUGUUGGUGGGGUAGUGGCUUACCAAGGCUUUGACGGGUAGCCGGCCUGAGAGGGUGACCGGCCACAGUGGGACUGAGAUACGGCCCAGACUCCUACGGGAGGCAGCAGUGGGGAAUAUUGCACAAUGGGUGGAAGCCUGAUGCAGCAACGCCGUGUGCGGGAUGACGGCCUUCGGGUUGUAAACCGCUUUCGCUCAUGACGAAGCUUUGUGUGACGGUAGUGGGUAAAGAAGCACCGGCUAACUACGUG
Molecule: ribosomal RNA, 467 nt
Filed under: uncultured bacterium
Lineage: Bacteria
Description: partial 16S ribosomal RNA
Rfam family: Bacterial small subunit ribosomal RNA
Source: RNAcentral